GCGGGCGUGGCGAAACUGGUAGACGCACUGGCCUCAGGAGUCAGGUUUUAGAGGUUCGAAUCCUCUCGCCCGCACCA
This 77-nucleotide transfer RNA is filed under the name compost metagenome. RNAcentral's name for it is "tRNA-Ser". It matches the Rfam family "tRNA". Rfam says of the family: Transfer RNA (tRNA) molecules are approximately 80 nucleotides in length. The record is from RNAcentral.